GAUGAACGCUGGCGGCGUGCCUAAUACAUGCAAGUCGAGCGAACGGACGAGAAGCUUGCUUCUCUGAUGUUAGCGGCGGACGGGUGAGUAACACGUGGAUAACCUACCUAUAAGACUGGGAUAACUUCGGGAAACCGGAGCUAAUACCGGAUAAUAUUUUGAACCGCAUGGUUCAAAAGUAAAAGACGGUCUUGCUGUCACUUAUAGAUGGAUCCGCGCUGCAUUAGCUAGUUGGUGAGGUAACGGCUUACCAAGGCAACGAGGCAUAGCCGACCUGAGAGGGUGAUCGGCCACACUAGAACUUAGACACGGUCCAGACUCCUACGGGAGGCAGCAGUAGGGAAUCUUCCGCAAUGGGCGAAAGCCUGACGGAGCAACGCCGCGUGAGUGAUGAAGGUCUUCGGAUCGUAAAACUCUGUUAUUAGGGAAGAACAUAUGUGUAAGUAACUGUGCACAUCUUGACGGUACCUAAUCAGAAAGCCACGGCUAACUACGUG
RNAcentral lists this ribosomal RNA (497 nucleotides) under uncultured bacterium. Its description in RNAcentral is "partial 16S ribosomal RNA". It matches the Rfam family "Bacterial small subunit ribosomal RNA", at positions 28 to 507 of the family's 1533-position model. The record is from RNAcentral.